CAACGCCAGAAUUUCAGCACAGGACCUGAUUGUGCAAAUCCUUACUUGUCAGUCAUUUUGGUCGUUUACCUAAUAUUAUAUUGAUGUUUGUAACAUUUGUUUCUGGAAGAAGAUGGCCGCGCAGGCUAUCCGUAUUUUCCGUAAAAUGGAUGGUCUGUUUGCUGUGUACAAACUGCAUGGAGUUCACUGGAAACAUGUUCGUGACAGCAUAGAGUCCAAUUUAUUAAAAGCGCUGAAUGUCCUCCACCAGCUCCUCAGCUUGCAGUGCAGUUCCAGCUUCUGUCCAGUGGAGAGAACAGCAGCAGCACCAGAGAUCUCGCAUUAUCACCCACUUUGGUCCCCACUCUGGCAGACCAUCCUCUAGUGACAGGGCCGCGGUUUCAUAAGGUUCACGUCGGAGUUGGUCCUCGAUUGGAUGCUUUUUCCUCUGGGGUGUUAGUUUUAGGUGUUGGGAAAGGAAACGGAGUGCU
Cyprinus carpio carpio is the source of this 470-nucleotide long non-coding RNA. The record is from Ensembl. Lineage: Eukaryota; Metazoa; Chordata; Actinopteri; Cypriniformes; Cyprinidae.